GACGAACGCUGGCGGCGUGCUUAACACAUGCAAGUCGAACGGACAGGCCCUGCUUUUGCGUGGUGCUCGAGUGGCGAACGGGUGAGUAACACGUGUGUAACCUGCCCUUGACUUUGGGAUAACUUCAGGAAACUGGGGCUAAUAUCGGAUAGGAGCUCCUGCUGCAUGGUGGGGGUUGGAAAGUUCCGGCGGUUGGGGAUGGACUCGCGGCUUAUCAGCUGCUUGGUGGGGUAGUGGCUUACGAAGCCUUUGACGGGUAGCCGGCCUGAGAGAGGGGACGGGCACAAGGGUCCUGCGAGAGGCAGCAGAAUCGUACGGGACGCAGCGGGGGGAAGUAUUGCGCAAUGGCGGCACGUCUGAUGCGGCAGCGCCGCGAGCGGGAUGACGGGCUUCGGGUGAUAAACAGCUUUCGAAGGUGACGAAGCGUGAGUGACGGUAAUGGGUAAAGAAGCACCGGCUAACUACGUG
RNAcentral lists this ribosomal RNA (468 nucleotides) under uncultured bacterium. RNAcentral describes it as "partial 16S ribosomal RNA". It matches the Rfam family "Bacterial small subunit ribosomal RNA", at positions 28 to 507 of the family's 1533-position model. The record is from RNAcentral.